CAGGAAGAAGUUUAAUAAAAUAUUAAUUUUGGAGAUUGAAGAUAAAGAUAUAGUUCUUUUUUCCUGA
This 67-nucleotide transfer RNA is filed under the name Niphades castanea. Its description in RNAcentral is "tRNA-Pro". Lineage: Eukaryota; Metazoa; Arthropoda; Insecta; Coleoptera; Curculionidae. The record is from RNAcentral.